GCUUAUACAUGCAAGUCGAACGAGAAGCCCUUCGGGGUGGAAAGUGGCGCACGGGUGAGUAACACGUAGGUAAUCUACCCACGAGUAGUGGAUAACGUUCCGAAAGGAACGCUAAUACAGUAUAAUACCAUGCUUCUUCGGAAGUCUGGCCAAAGCGGAGGACCUUCGGGCUUCGCGCUUGUGGAUGAGCCUGCGGCCCAUCAGCUAGUUGGUAGUGUAACGGACUACCAAGGCUAAGACGGGUAGCUGGUCUGAGAGGAUGAACAGCCACACUGGAACUGAGACACGGUCCAGACUCCUACGGGAGGCAGCAGUAGGGAAUCUUGCGCAAUGGGCGAAAGCCUGACGCAGCGAUGCCGCGUGAGCGAUGAAGGCCUUCGGGUUGUAAAGCUCUGUGGAUGGAGACGAAUAAGCUGUAGUUAAUACCUGCAGUGGUGACGGUAUCCAUUUAGCAAGCACCGGCUAACUCUGUGCCAGCAGCCGCGGUAAGACAGAGGGUGCAAACGUUGUUCGGAAUUACUGGGCGUAAAGCGCGUAUAGGCGGCUUGGUAAGUCGGAUGUGAAAUCCCGUGGCUCAACCAUGGAAGUGCAUCCGAAACUGCUAGGCUAGAGUAUCGGAGAGGAAGGUGGAAUGCUUGGUGUAGAGGUGAAAUUCGUAGAUAUCAAGCGGAACACCGGUGGCGAAGGCGGCCUUCUGGACGAUUACUGACGCUGAGACGCGAAAGCGUGGGUAGCAAACAGGAUUAGAUACCCUGGUAGUCCACGCCGUAAACGAUGAGUGCUAGGUGUCAGAG
Molecule: ribosomal RNA, 794 nt
Filed under: uncultured delta proteobacterium
Lineage: Bacteria; Deltaproteobacteria
Description: bacterial SSU rRNA
Rfam family: Bacterial small subunit ribosomal RNA
Source: RNAcentral